ACCUUCAAAUUCUUUAUCUUCCACAAACACCUCAAACAUAGCACCACAACCUCCAGAUACAUCUACAACGUUGACGCUUGCCUAUAAGAGAAAUCUGCCAGUUAAUAACUGGUGUAUUUGCUGCUGGGCGUUGUUUUGUUGAACUGACGAUAAAAAUCGCGUUAAAAUCGAGGUAAUUCCACGCAAACGGCUCAUUAUAACCAUAAAUUUCAACCAGAAGAAAUGAACGAAAUUGUAAUAUGAAGAGAGUUGGCGGUUUGUUAUGUAUUUGCAUCUGUUUGACAAAAGGCUUAGAGUGAGGAGUUAGAGUCUAAAUGCUAAAUGCAAUAUUUUUCAACGUGUGUCAGUUAAUCCAUUCUGACCCAAUAGAAAAAAAUGAUGACUUGAAGAUUCUCAACAACGACGAGCUUGAAAAUUUGGCAGGGUACAUCUGCCACAAACUUGGUAAAGACAACCCCGAAAUUUGUGCCAAUUCAGAAAAUUGUUCGUCUUAUACUUUGGUGGAUCACCUAUCUGAAGGAGGACUCUCAAAUCCAACAGAUACAGCAAGCAGUAUUUGACGACUUAAAUGGUACUGAUUUGCAUAUGUAUAUGGACAAAUUCCGUCCAGAAGUACUUAGAUUUAGUAAUUUUGUAAAUUGUAGCACCAAAGUAAAAUAAUUGUUUUUCAGAGCUAGAAUGUAUUUUAGGA
Bactrocera tryoni is the source of this 691-nucleotide long non-coding RNA. RefSeq lists it as uncharacterized. Lineage: Eukaryota; Metazoa; Arthropoda; Insecta; Diptera; Tephritidae. The transcript has 4 exons. The record is from RefSeq and is a predicted model, not a curated record.